RNAcentral lists this long non-coding RNA (204 nucleotides) under Carica papaya (papaya). Its description in RNAcentral is "long non-coding RNA (CPAP_LNC009339)". The record is from RNAcentral. Lineage: Eukaryota; Viridiplantae; Streptophyta; Magnoliopsida; Brassicales; Caricaceae.
UCGAGAGAGUAGGCAUAUUAGGUUUCUGAAGAUCAAAUCAAGUAGAGUCUAAAUAGACUCAUGUGUAUAUAAAAAACUUGGCUAUAUUAGUAGGGUAACACGAGUACAUAGUCAAAACACUACUAACAGUAAUAAUGCUAGUACUAGUAACACUCAGCUAAUGGAGAAAAAUAAUAGAAAAUUCAUUGAAAGACUCAAGAGGAU